AUGCAGGAGACAGCAGCAGCUGCAUGUGACACCCACAGCAGUGCAGGGUUUAGUCUGAGUUUAACUUCAGCUCUGGGAGGAGCCAGGCUGAUGGUGUUCAGGGAUUCACUGUGUUCCUUUUUUGGGGGGUUUGGCGUGGGCAGGGCUCUCUCUGGGGCAGCACAGGUGGUUGGGGUGGUGCCUGAGCUGCUCCUCCAGCCUGCUGUGCCCCAGAUCCUGGGUGUGCUGCAGGCUCUGAGGCCUCAGCAGCCCCAGCCCAGCCAGGAGCAUCACCAGGGGCUCCCCGGGUGGCCAGGUCUCCUUUGCAGCGUGUCUCACCUUAGCCUUACUCCAGGGCACGCAGAAAGCAAGGGCAGAACUUGGAAACCCGGGAAGCUGUUUUUGCCCAUCCUUCUUCUACAGAUAAGGGCUCAACUCCAUCCUUGCAGCUGUGUCAGCCUGGUGUGUGCUGCUGGAGCCCCUCCUCAGGUGGCUUUGGGGAGGAGAGAGCUGUUAAUGAAGGAUUUGCCUCCUCGGGGUUCUUUCUCUGCUUUGAAGAGCACCCAGCUCAGCUGUGCACUUUAUCCCUCUGCCUCCCCUUCCUCUGCAAAGUCCCCCUUUUUAAGCAGGCUCAGGACAAGUGAGGGACACUUGUCCACACCCAGCAGUGUCAUCCCCCUGCCACCCGUGUCCCCUGCCUGUCCUUGUGCUGCUGCCAUCCAGGGCAGCACGCUGGGAAGGGGGACACGGGGCCCUCAGGGCUUCCUCCAACUUUUACCACUUUUAGGCACUUUUUUUGUCCCCUGUCUGGGUUUGCACAGCGGUGCUGAGGCCCCAGCACUGUGGCAGGGGAUCACUGCUCCUUCACAGCCGUGCCGUCCAUGCCAGGCCACCAGUGGGACCUGGGGGCCACCAGACUUGUCUGGGUACUGCCAGCCUGACCCAGGUGCUGCCAGUGGGACCUGGGUGCCACUGGUGUCACCUGAGUGCUUCCAGUGUGACCCAGGUGCUGCCCAGGUGCCACCAGGGUGA
Molecule: long non-coding RNA, 1011 nt
Filed under: Junco hyemalis (dark-eyed junco)
Lineage: Eukaryota; Metazoa; Chordata; Aves; Passeriformes; Passerellidae
Description: lncRNA (ENSJHYG00000017551.1)
Source: RNAcentral